RNAcentral lists this ribosomal RNA (1041 nucleotides) under Triticum aestivum (bread wheat). Its description in RNAcentral is "partial small subunit ribosomal RNA". The record is from RNAcentral. Lineage: Eukaryota; Viridiplantae; Streptophyta; Magnoliopsida; Poales; Poaceae.
AUGCGCUCCUACGGUGGCGCCGCCGGGGGAGGCAGUGGCGGGUUCAAGAUAUUCUCGGAAGAGGAGCUCAAGAAGGCCACCAACAACUUUGCCGCUGACCAGAUCCUCGGUCGCGGCGGCCACGGCAUUGUGUACAGAGGUGUUCUGGAGGACAAGACCAUUGUGGCCAUCAAGAAGUCUAAAAUGAUGGAGGCCACAGAGACAAAGGAGUUCGCGAGGGUGAUGCUCAUCCUCUCCCAGAUCAACCACCGAAACGUCGUCAAGCUGCACGGUUGCUGCCUCGAGGUGGAGGUGCCUAUGUUGGUCUAUGAGUAUGUCUCCAACGGCACUCUCUACCACUACAUCCAUGGCGGCGAGGGCCACGACACCAACAAGGCACUCGACACCCGCCUACGGAUAGCGGCAGAGUCGGCCGAGGCGCUGUCGUACAUGCACUCGUCGGCCUCGCCACCGAUCCUCCACGGUGAUGUCAAGACGUCCAACAUCCUGCUCGACGGCAGCCUCACCGCCAAAGUCUCUGACUUUGGGGCGUCGAAGCUAGCACCAAGUGACGAGGCCGAGAUUGCGACACUGGUGCAAGGCACCUGCGGGUACCUAGAUCCGGAGUACCUCAUGACAUGCCAGCUAACGGACAAGAGUAACGUGUACAGUUUUGGCGUCGUUCUGCUCGAGCUCUUGAUGGGAAAGAAGGUGCUCUGCUUUGACGGGCCAGAGGAGGACAGGAGCCUUGUGUCCCGGUUCAUGACGGCCGUGAAAGCUGGCCAGCACGGUGAGCUCCUUGACGACCAGGUGAGAUUGGAGAUGGGCCCGGAGGCACUGGAGGAAGUAACACACCUCGUGAUGCGGUGUGUGAGCAUGAUGAGGGAGGAGCGUCCGUCGAUGAAGGAAGUUGCAGAGAAGUUGGAAGCUCUGAGGAGGUAUCAACGGAACCCAUGGGGUCAGGCUGGUGCUGAUCCGGAGGAGGGGCAAAGCUUGCUUGGCAGAGACGGUGAGCAACAACAUGAAGUGAAUUAUAAGUUGAGACCGCAAGAUCGUGCUUGA